Numida meleagris (helmeted guineafowl) is the source of this 1879-nucleotide long non-coding RNA. The record is from Ensembl. Lineage: Eukaryota; Metazoa; Chordata; Aves; Galliformes; Numididae.
UGAAAUUCAUGGCACGGGAUGGCUUGGGCCAUCAUCACUGCUGAAGUAACAAGGUCUUUCUUCCUGCACAUCUUUUCUCUUGCUCUCAAUUACACUGUUCACCCUGCACCAAUCUGCACACAUGUCAUGGUUUUGUGAUUUUUGGUUAUUGGUAUUCCACAUCAUAACAUCAUGUAGUGGACAUACCUAGUUCUCAGAAGAGAAGGACUACUACAGUCCCCACGGUACUUUGCUCCUUUGUUACCAUUUUCCAGCCGGAGGGAAAAGAUAGAAGCUCGCAGUAUAAAAACUUGCAGAUCACGAGACCUCGUCCCUUUUUCCGCCGUCUCUCGUCUUGGCAGCACCUCGCUCUCCAGCCGUCUUAUCGUCGGUAGUAGAGUAAGGCCUACCUUGAUUUUGGGACAUUCUCUCUCUCUGUGUUGGAUUUAUCAGCUUAAAUUGUAAUUAUAUUGUAUUAUAGUGUGUUGUUUUGCAUUCCGAUAUCUUAUUUAGUAAAUUAGUUUGUUUCUCCUCAGAUUGUUGCCGCUGUUCUUUGCUCUCAGGGCCAUCUCCCUACCCUUUUCCCCCUUUCCCCUUUUCCCGGGACGUGGGCCCUUGGGUCCCCUGUCCCCUUCGUCACGGAAUCGGGCCUAACGCCCGUAAACCGUUGACAACACAUAAGACCCCUAUCAUCCUUACUUGCCAGAAAAGUGAAUCAGUAGGAAAAAAAGGCCUUUUUCUUGAUUAGAGACAGGAUAGGGCUGCAUGGAGACAGAUAAGAAGAACACCUCUUCUGGAGACCAUAUCUCCAUAGCAAUUUUGUUUACAUCAAUCUCUGGUUUCAUGGGUAGAGUUGAUCUCUGCACUGAGAAUAGGGUCUACACCCAGGGGUACCGAACUACAUGCUUUAAUGUUCUUCUUACUAUUCUGCAUGUAUGGAAUCCAAUGCACAGCAUGAACAAAUGUGAAUCUCAUAUUUGGAGAAGCAUGUACAGAACCACAAGUUCUCCAGCAUGAUUGAAGUCUGAAGUUAAAAGUGGCAAAAGACAGAUGAAAAGUGAUCAGCAAGAACUGCAAAAUCGGAGUCACCUCCUGAACUUCCAUCCCAGAUGAUGUCCCAUACUUCAUCCUGGGUAAGUGCUUCAGGUUGCUCUUACAGCAUGCUUGAUCUCUUUUACCUGUCACUUCCAGUCUGGUGAGGUAUCUCUCCAUCUCCAGCUUGCUUUAGUGAAUAUUUAGGCACUUUCAGGCCUUAAAGUGAGAUUCUUUUGACUUUCAUUAAUAGAACAAUUUUUAUCUUAUUAGUAUUUAGAAGUGAGAAGGAUGUUCUAGGUCAGUAAGUCCAGUUUAGACAUGGCUGAUAUCUGUAUAUAGUAAAACAAUAUGGACUUAAAAAAGCAAACAAUCUUGCUGGUAAAUAUGCAGUGCUAGAUUUGGCUGCUAGAUGUUUUAGUAUCAACUUCUACUAAAUUAGUCAAGGAGAACACUGAAAGUUAAAGAUCUGAGGGAAUGGAGGUUUUAUAACACUGACCUUAACUUCAGUGCAGCAUGAAUAUUGCUUAAUUAAUCAUAGUACUGUCUAUGUUACCCAACAUGUCUUCUGUUCCUCAGUUGUUUUCAUACCUCAGAAUGUAUUUAGUCUACAGUGUUGACAAUUGAAAAUUGCAUUUAAAUAAGAAUAUAAAUUGUUUGGGGGGAGAGAGUUUUUUUUUCUGAUAUUCUUUUGAUUGUGGUUUAUGACUUCUCUAUCUUUAAAGCUGAUUUUAAUAUUUUUCAUUAAAUCUAGUACAUUCUUUCUUCACAAAAGCCCUGCCUCUUCAUUAUAACCAUUUCCAUCAAUGACAAGAUCAGAGAGCAUUUUUAAUGCUAAAAAGGAUAGAAGGGUAGAAAUUAGUACUUA